This 434-nucleotide ribosomal RNA is filed under the name uncultured bacterium. Its description in RNAcentral is "bacterial SSU rRNA". It matches the Rfam family "Bacterial small subunit ribosomal RNA", at positions 355 to 806 of the family's 1533-position model. The record is from RNAcentral.
UGGGGAAUCUUGCACAAUGGGCGAAAGCCUGAUGCAGCAACGCCGCGUGCGGGAAGACAGCCCUAGGGUUGUAAACCGCUUUCAGCAGGGAAGAAACUGACGGUACCUGCAGAAGAAGAUGCGGCCAACUACGUGCCAGCAGCCGCGGUGACACGUAGGCAUCAAGCGUUAUCCGGAUUUAUUGGGCGUAAAGAGCUCGUAGGCGGUUCGGUAAGUCGGGUGUGAAACUCUGGGCUCAACCCAGAGAGGCCACUCGAUACUGCUGUGACUAGAGUGCGGUAGGGGAGCGGGGAAUUCCUGGUGUAGCGGUGAAAUGCGCAGAUAUCAGGAGGAACACCAGUGGCGAAGGCGCCGCUCUGGGCCGUAACUGACGCUGAGGAGCGAAAGCAUGGGUAGCAAACAGGAUUAGAUACCCUGGUAGUCCAUGCCGUAAA